CUGGGGAAACCCAGGCUAAUACCGCAUACGUCCUACGGGAGAAAGGGGGCUUCGGCUCCCGCUAUUGGAUGAGCCUAUGUCGGAUUAGCUAGUUGGUAAGGUAAUGGCUUACCAAGGCAACGAUCCGUAGCUGGUCUGAGAGGAUGAUCAGCCACAUCGGGACUGAGACACGGCCCGAACUCCUACGGGAGGCAGCAGUGGGGAAUAUUGGACAAUGGGGGCAACCCUGAUCCAGCCAUGCCGCGUGUGUGAAGAAGGCCCUCGGGUUGUAAAGCACUUUCAGCGAGGAAGAACGCCUAUCGGUUAAUACCCGGUAGGAAAGACAUCACUCGCAGAAGAAGCACCGGCUAACUCCGUGCCAGCAGCCGCGGUAAUACGGAGGGUGCAAGCGUUAAUCGGAAUUACUGGGCGUAAAGCGCGCGUAGGUGGMUUGAUAAGCCGGUUGUGAAAGCCCCGGGCUCAACCUGGGAACGGCAUCCGGAACUGUCAGGCUAGAGUGCAGGAGAGGAAGGUAGAAUUCCCGGUGUAGCGGUGAAAUGCGUAGAGAUCGGGAGGAAUACCAGUGGCGAAGGCGGCCUUCUGGACUGACACUGACACUGAGGUGCGAAAGCGUGGGUAGCAAACAGGAUUAGAUACCCUGGUAGUCCACGCCGUAAACGAUGUCGACCAGCCGUUGGGUGCCUAGAGCACUUUGUGGCGAAGUUAACGCGAUAAGUCGACCGCCUGGGGAGUACGGCCGCAAGGUUAAAACUCAAAUGAAUUGACGGGGGCCCGCACAAGCGGUGGAGCAUGUGGUUUAAUUCGAUGCAACGCGAAGAACCUUACCUACCCUUGACAUCUACAGAAGCCGGAAGAGAUUCUGGUGUGCCUUCGGGAACUGUAAGACAGGUGCUGCAUGGCUGUCGUCAGCUCGUGUUGUGAAAUGUUGGGUUAAGUCCCGUAACGAGCGCAACCCUUGUCCUUAUUUGCCAGCGAGUAAUGUCGGGAACUCUAAGGAGACUGCCGGUGACAAGCCGGAGGAAGGUGGGGACGACGUCAAGUCAUCAUGGCCCUUACGGGUAGGGCUACACACGUGCUACAAUGGCCGGUACAAAGGGCUGCGAGCUCGCGAGAGUCAGCGAAUCCCUUAAAGCCGGUCUCAGUCCGGAUCGGAGUCUGCAACUCGACUCCGUGAAGUCGGAAUCGCUAGUAAUCGUGAAUCAGAAUGUCACGGUGAAUACGUUCCCGGGCCUUGUACACACCGCCCGUCACACCAUG
Molecule: ribosomal RNA, 1257 nt
Filed under: uncultured Halomonas sp.
Lineage: Bacteria; Pseudomonadati; Pseudomonadota; Gammaproteobacteria; Oceanospirillales; Halomonadaceae
Description: bacterial SSU rRNA
Rfam family: Bacterial small subunit ribosomal RNA
Source: RNAcentral